Molecule: transfer RNA, 76 nt
Filed under: Bacteroidota bacterium
Lineage: Bacteria; Pseudomonadati; Bacteroidota
Description: Bacteroidetes bacterium tRNA-Phe
Rfam family: tRNA
About the family: Transfer RNA (tRNA) molecules are approximately 80 nucleotides in length. Their secondary structure includes four short double-helical elements and three loops (D, anti-codon, and T loops). Further hydrogen bonds mediate the characteristic L-shaped molecular structure. tRNAs have two regions of fundamental functional importance: the anti-codon, which is responsible for specific mRNA codon recognition, and the 3' end, to which the tRNAs corresponding amino acid is attached (by aminoacyl-tRNA synthetases). tRNAs cope with the degeneracy of the genetic code in two manners: having more than one tRNA (with a specific anti-codon) for a particular amino acid; and 'wobble' base-pairing, i.e. permitting non-standard base-pairing at the 3rd anti-codon position.
Source: RNAcentral
GGUGCCAUAGCUCAGUUGGUAGAGCAACGGACUGAAAAUCCGUGUGUCCCUAGUUCAAUUCUUGGUGGCACCACAA